This 389-nucleotide ribosomal RNA is filed under the name uncultured bacterium. RNAcentral's name for it is "bacterial SSU rRNA". It matches the Rfam family "Bacterial small subunit ribosomal RNA", at positions 30 to 417 of the family's 1533-position model. The record is from RNAcentral.
AUUGAACGCUGGCGGCAUGCCUUACACAUGCAAGUCGAACGGCAGCACGGGUGCUUGCACCUGGUGGCGAGUGGCGAACGGGUGAGUAAUAUAUCGGAACGUACCUUAUCGUGGGGGAUAACGCAGCGAAAGCUGCGCUAAUACCGCAUACGCCCUGAGGGGGAAAGCGGGGGACCGUAAGGCCUCGCGCGAUUAGAGCGGCCGAUAUCUGAUUAGCUUGUUGGUGGGGUAAAAGCCCACCAAGGCGACGAUCAGUAGCUGGUCUGAGAGGACGAUCAGCCACACUGGGACUGAGACACGGCCCAGACUCCUACGGGAGGCAGCAGUGGGGAAUUUUGGACAAUGGGGGCAACCCUGAUCCAGCAAUGCCGCGUGAGUGAAGAAGGCCU